Molecule: ribosomal RNA, 406 nt
Filed under: uncultured bacterium
Lineage: Bacteria
Description: partial 16S ribosomal RNA
Rfam family: Bacterial small subunit ribosomal RNA
Source: RNAcentral
AUUGAACGCUGGCGGCAGGCCUAACACAUGCAAGUCGAACGAGUGGCGGAAGGGUGAGUAAUGUCUGGGAAACUGCCUGAUGGAGGGGGAUAACUACUGGACAGGGUAGCUAAUACCGCAUUCCAUCAGCUGUGCACAAUUAGGAUUCGCUUGUUGGUGGGGUAACGGCUCACCAAGGCGACGAUCCCUAGCUGGUCGUAGAGGAUGACCAGACACACGGGAACUGAGACACGGUCCAGCCUCCUACGGGCGGCAGCAGUGGGGAAUAUUGCACAAUGGGCUCAAGCCUGAUGCAGCCAUGCCGCGUGUAUGAAGAAGGCCUUCGGGUUGUAAAGUACUUUCAGCGGGGAGGCGUUACCCGAAGAAGAAGCACCGGCUAACUCCGUGCCAGCAGCCGCGGUAAUAC